GGUUAAGACACUAUAAUGAUAAAAAAUGAAGCAUUUUAUCUUGCAAAUCCUGUUUUUAUCAUGAACAAAACAAUCUUGAAUAGAACCUUUAAUGGGAAGAAAUUAACAGCUGAGU
Long non-coding RNA from Dipodomys spectabilis (banner-tailed kangaroo rat), 115 nucleotides. RefSeq lists it as uncharacterized. The record is from RefSeq and is a predicted model, not a curated record. The transcript is spliced from 4 exons. NCBI's taxonomy places the organism in Eukaryota, Metazoa, Chordata, Mammalia, Rodentia, Heteromyidae.